UCUCCGUUGGUGAACCAGCGGAGGGAUCAUUACAGAGUUAUCCAACUCCCAAACCCAUGUGAACAUAUCUCUUUGUUGCCUCGGCGCAAGCUACCCGGGACCUCGCGCCCCGGGCGGCCCGCCGGCGGACAAACCAAACUCUGUUAUCUUCGUUGAUUAUCUGAGUGUCUUCAUUUACGAAUGAAUUAAAACUUUCAACAACGGAUCUCUUGGUUCUG
Molecule: unclassified non-coding RNA, 218 nt
Filed under: soil metagenome
Description: partial contains small subunit ribosomal RNA, internal transcribed spacer 1, and 5.8S ribosomal RNA
Source: RNAcentral